GAUAUCCUACGGGAGGCAGCAGUGGGGGAUAUUGCACAAUGGGGGAAACCCUGAUGCAGCGACGCCGCGUGAGCGAUGAAGUAUUUCGGUAUGUAAAGCUCUAUCAGCAGGGAAGAAAAUGACGGUACCUGACUAAGAAGCCCCGGCUAACUACGAGCCAGCAGCCGCGGUAAUACGUAGGGGGCAAGCGUUAUCCGGAUUUAAUGGGUGUAAAGGGAGCGUAGACGGCAGUGCAAGUCUGAAGUGAAAGGCAAGGGCUCAAACAUUGGACUGCUUUGGAAACUGUGCUGCUCGAGUGUCGGAGG
RNAcentral lists this ribosomal RNA (305 nucleotides) under uncultured bacterium. RNAcentral describes it as "bacterial SSU rRNA". It matches the Rfam family "Bacterial small subunit ribosomal RNA", at positions 333 to 655 of the family's 1533-position model. The record is from RNAcentral.